UUUCUCUCUGCAAAGACAAAGAAAUUGAUGGUAUUUCUGCUGUAGCAGUUUGUGCACAGUCUCUGCAAUAACAGGACAGAAAACACAGAAAGCUUUGAAAUCGAUCAGUGUAACCCAAGCAUUGAAGUGCUCACUACAAGCCACUUAUAUCAAGUAAGUUUACUUUUGCUACUUUUAACACUGAGUUCAGCAGUUGCUGGAGGAGCACAGCAAACAUUUCUCCUGAUCAGAGUAUUACAGCAGCGAUGCAGACUGACCAGAUGACCCCAGAUGCUCAUGACAGCUGUGCCAUGUGUUUCACUAGGAGCAAAACUAAAGCUUUUUUCAGCAGGAACCAUGAAUUUAAAUCAUGACUCUCAUCCAACACUCCAAUACUACUCACCCCUUUCGAUUUUACAGGCGAGAAUACUGUACAUGUUGUAGUGAUUAGCAUGCCAACUUUGAGAAUAAUUAUAAAUAUCCCAAAACCCAUCAAGAUUUACACCAGCAAAAAAACUGUUCUUCUUUAUGAUAGGUCUUCCCAGCCUCCAGUUAUUGUAAGUCAGAUGAGUUUCAUCAUACCACUUGAGAACAUUAUCUGUGGAAAACAUUGCAUAUUUAUUAAAACACUGACAUUAUGUCUACAAAUACCAUUUAAGUUUGAAUAUAUUAAUGAUAAUAACAGAUACUCGCUUUGGAAAAAAUGCUGUGAUACCAUAAGUUACUCUAAAUCAAUUCCAUAUCCAAUGCUAAAUAUGUUAAAAGUGGCCAGGAUGAGUAAUGCUAAGUCCUGCUUUCCAGGGAAAUCAAAUUUUGACUAAACAGAACAUAUUGGAUCUAAUUAUCACUCAAACAGAGAGCAUGUCAGGUUAUUUUCUUCUAGAAGACAAGUACAAAUAUAAAUCAUUGUUACAAGUUUGCAUUCACUUUGACUUUAGUUAUAAACUGAAACAUGGAAGAAACAUGCACUUAAUCCUGCAAAUUUUGUCUCCAAUCCAGUUAAUAAGGAAAACCCCAAACCCUUAAAUCUUACCACUGUCAUCAUAAAUCACACCCAGCCAGACCCACAGAGCCAGACCGCUGAAUGAAUGAAGCUGCUCAGUAACAAAGUUAUUCUCCUCUUCAUCUCGAACGCUCAGAACAAAUGCUUCGGGGUCUGUUGAAAAUUUUUUUACAUUACUUUCUUACAAAUUCACCUUUCAGUUACAAAAGAAAUAAAUUUUUUUCUAUUACUGUUAACAAUUAUUACAGAUAGGUCAACAGUGUGUUAGGGCCAGAUCUUUAUAACAUAAUAACUAAUUGAACACUGCAAAAACGAUUUUCAAAUGUAUUAUCAAUGGUACUAUCUCUGGUUUUUUGGGUAAGUGUAAGAUUUCAGCUCCAGAGAUAUUUGUGGGUCCUACUGUCACUUCAAGUUGUAUGUAAUAAAAAUUCCCUGCACAGAACACAAAAAUAUCAGCAAACUUUCACUUGAACAUAUUUGCUUGAACUGCCCUAGUAAACAAACAGUAUUAAGGGAAAGAUUGAACUAAAAGCCAUUCACAAAAAAAUAAAAACAGUUUUUGCAAAAAUGAAUGUCUGGAGGUUUAAGAGAGGAAAGCUGUUCCUAAGGUUUUAAUUUAUUCAGGAUGAACAGAAAAUGUCCAUGUGCUUUUCAGUCUAUUUAUUUUGUUCACCUAAGUGUUCCACACAGCAAAGCUGGGGGCAGCAGGAAACCAUGAAGUAAAUGUUGCCAAGGGGAUAACAAUUACCCAAACUAUUUAAAACUGGCAUAUUAUAACAAAAACCCCAACCAAACACAAAAACCUUCCAAUUUUUCAGAGAUGUCAGAGUUCAGCAGUGCAAAGCCACCUCUUUCUUCAACUCUCCUAUCCAUGCUCUGGCAUUUUUUAUCAGAGUAGUGCAAGGGCAAACAGGAUCAGGCAGUGCAACACUACUGCAUUACUGCUACAGCCUUUCUCAACAUUCACUCUGCUGUCUGUCAUUGUAAGACAGUGACUCAGAUCUAACACUCAUCUGCCUCAAGCUGAUCCAAGUCCAUAAAUACCUGCAGUAUGACAAAGUACUUACUCAUAUUCCUGCAUAAAUGAUGAGCUUCUUGAGACUUCAGUUCUCUCCAUCUAUUUUUUGUUAUCACAAAAGUGUAACAAUUGUUUCUAAAUGAUAUCCAGGGUGUAUUUUUAAUCUUAUGUGGGCACUUCACUUGUGUAACUUGUUCUUUUUCAGUCUUCUCUAAAAAAAGACAAGACAACAUCAGUAGAUGAAUUACUAAUAACACCACCUGACCUGGCACCCCACAAACCACUUUCAGGUACCACUUAAAAACAUGUAAGACAAAUAAGUGCCAUCCUUUAAAUGUGUAAUGCAUUUUUGCUUUCAGUUUCCUCAUGAUGGUGAUUUUUUUUUUAAGUAACAAAACCAGCAGUAAGCUCUACUAAAGAAUACAGAUACUUGUAAGUUUUCACAGUUAUUUUAAUAGGUUAAAAAAUAAAAUCCCUACAAAAAAGCACUAAGUGUAGGCCAACAAUUAAAAGCUUGUAUUGCCUCUUGUGCAAGGCAGAUCACUGUAACAAAUAGGCUACUUCACAGCUAGCAACAUGUCAGUUCUAUGGCUUUAUCUAACACUUGAGGAGUGAGAGGCACUCUUCCUGCAGUUUACCUGGAUUGUAAGCACAAAACAGUUAAUGGCGUCAUAAUGCCACAUUUUACUGUGACUCAGGAUGUACAAUGGCUUGUGUUCCCUCACAGACAAAAACCAAAACCGUAACAAAUCAUAAUGGUCUCAUAGGGAAGAAGUCUGUGAUGAUCUCUCAGAAAAAUCUUUUUCUGAAGGAUACACAACUAGCACAGCACUUUCCUGAAAAUAAAAAAACCCACAUCCUACUAUAUCCCUGUCUUGUUUAAGGGUUAGAAGGGUUUUGUGAACUUCAGAUGAUGUAAAUUUCCAGUUCAGUGUCUACCUUCUAUCCUUCUUCUCCGUAUAAUCACGUACCUCCUCCCUGCAUAAGACUUGCAUGUCUGAAUAGAUUUUAGGAGGUCCCAAUAUUAAGAUGUAAAUAGUACAGAGGUAGCUUAAUCUUCUCCUACAUGCAAGUGGGAGAGAUUAGUAUGCAACAAUCUUAGAGAAGCAGUGCAAAGAUAGAAUCAGUUGGCAAUAAGGGUACUGUCUGACCCAAUGAAUCCAUGCUGAAUUGAUUUCUAAGGAACAACUGGAUUAAGAGCAACAUGUGCAUGCCCCCGUUUUUGAAGCCAGUUUCUAUUUUUUCAUGGCAUAGAAAUCAGACUGUCUGAGGAAAUAAAAGUUUUAAAAAGUUGUAAUUUUGAAGGUACAACCUGGAAUCAUCAAAUAUGUUUCAUAAUUAAAAAAAGGCCAGCUUUUAUAAAAAUUAUGGUAGCAUACAUACUUUCUGAUGCGUAGCAAAUAGCACCUCGAUUUUCAGAGGAACAGUCAGAAGUUCUCCAGAAGCCAUCAGUAUCCAAAACCACACAUUCUUCACUUGUUUCUUCAUCAUCCUCAGACCA
Long non-coding RNA from Corvus hawaiiensis (hawaiian crow), 3501 nucleotides. RefSeq lists it as uncharacterized. The record is from RefSeq and is a predicted model, not a curated record. The transcript has 2 exons. NCBI's taxonomy places the organism in Eukaryota, Metazoa, Chordata, Aves, Passeriformes, Corvidae.